This 305-nucleotide ribosomal RNA is filed under the name uncultured bacterium. Its description in RNAcentral is "bacterial SSU rRNA". It matches the Rfam family "Bacterial small subunit ribosomal RNA", at positions 333 to 655 of the family's 1533-position model. The record is from RNAcentral.
UUCGUCCUACGGGAGGCAGCAGUGAGGGAUAUUGGUCAAUGGGGGAAACCCUGAACCAGCAACGCCGCGUGAGGGAAGACAGCUUUCGGAUUGUAAACCUCUGUCCUCUGUGAAGAUAAUGACGGUAGCAGAGGAGGAAGCUCCGGCUAACUACGUGCCAGCAGCCGCGGUAAUACGUAGGGAGCGAGCGUUGUCCGGAUUUACUGGGUGUAAAGGGUGCGUAGGCGGCCCUGCAAGUCAGAAGCGAAAUCCAUGGGCUUAACCCGUGAACUGCUUUUGAAACUGCAGGACUUGAGUGGAGUAGG